This 735-nucleotide long non-coding RNA is filed under the name Gossypium raimondii (Peruvian cotton). RNAcentral describes it as "long non-coding RNA (GRAI_LNC008924)". The record is from RNAcentral. Lineage: Eukaryota; Viridiplantae; Streptophyta; Magnoliopsida; Malvales; Malvaceae.
GCCGAAUGAAGAAGAUGUAAAAUGGUUUCAUCUUUUAUCUUUCCUUUAUCAAUUAUAAAAUGUUUUCAGUUAAUAAUUUAGGUUAAUUAAAUUUCAAGAACUUGGAUAUUCACCCAAUAAGGACUUGCUAAAUUUCCUAAUUCAAUUCUCACUCCACUAUACCAUUUAGUCUGUAUACUUUUAUUAUAAUUUAAUUACUGGCUAAUGUGAUUUCUCAAUCUCAUAUUCACCCCAUUCAACCUUUUAGCUAUCUUAACUUUUCAUAUCCGGUCCCGAAACUGAUUUUUUCAACACCGAAAAAAUCAGGUCGUCAUAAAAAAAAGCUCAAACAAAAAUGCUUUGGAGCAAGCAAAUUGAACAAAGGUCCAUAAAAUAGAGAACUCGACGAUUGCAAAUGGUGAUACAGACUUAGAACACAGAAAAACUUCAAAAGUUGUAACAGAAAAAGUGACAUAUAUAGAGUCUUCUUGCAACCUGCUGCUCAUCAUUGCUCCUUCUCCCAGGCGCAGUCAGUUUAGUCCGGCAUUUAUUGUGAAUAUUCUAGAAGCCUUCAAGCAACCUUUCACGCCCAUCAACAUGCUGAACCACUCGUGAUGCACAUCCCGGUCGUUCUACCUCUCGAGCAACUCACGGGCAAGAAUGUAACCUAGGGAGACAAUUUUUAAGCCACCGCCUGGGCUAAAUACGUGUCACUUCAGAAAGUAUUAGGUGCAUGCCUGAAAGAUAGUUUUCCAC